This 69-nucleotide transfer RNA is filed under the name Condylura cristata (star-nosed mole). RNAcentral's name for it is "tRNA-Val". It matches the Rfam family "tRNA". From Rfam's summary of the family: Transfer RNA (tRNA) molecules are approximately 80 nucleotides in length. Their secondary structure includes four short double-helical elements and three loops (D, anti-codon, and T loops). Further hydrogen bonds mediate the characteristic L-shaped molecular structure. tRNAs have two regions of fundamental functional importance: the anti-codon, which is responsible for specific mRNA codon recognition, and the 3' end, to which the tRNAs corresponding amino acid is attached (by aminoacyl-tRNA synthetases). tRNAs cope with the degeneracy of the genetic code in two manners: having more than one tRNA (with a specific anti-codon) for a particular amino acid; and 'wobble' base-pairing, i.e. permitting non-standard base-pairing at the 3rd anti-codon position. Lineage: Eukaryota; Metazoa; Chordata; Mammalia; Eulipotyphla; Talpidae. The record is from RNAcentral.
CAAAGUGUAGCUUAAUAACAAAGCACCUGGCCUACACCCAGAAGAUUCCAUUAAACACGGACACUUUGA